Molecule: ribosomal RNA, 440 nt
Filed under: uncultured bacterium
Lineage: Bacteria
Description: partial 16S ribosomal RNA
Rfam family: Bacterial small subunit ribosomal RNA
Source: RNAcentral
CCUACGGGAGGCAGCAGUGGGGAAUAUUGCACAAUGGGGGAAACCCUGAUGCAGCGACGCCGCGUGAGUGAAGAAGUCUUUCGGUAUGUAAAGCUCUAUCAGCAGGGAAGAAAGUGACGAUACCUGAUUCAGAAGACCCGGCUAACUACGUGCCAGCAGCCGCCGUAAUACGUAGGGGGCAAGCGUUCGUCGGAUUUACUGGGGGUAAAGGGAGCGGAGACGGCUGCACAAGUCUGGAGUGAAAUGCCCGGGCUUAACCACGGAACUGCUUUGGAAACUGGGCAGCGAGAGUGCAGGAGAGGUGAGUAGAAUUCCUGGUGUAGCGGUGAAAUGCGUAGAGAUGUGGAGGAACACCAGUGGCGAAGGCGGCCUACUGGACUGUAACUGACGUUGAGGCGCGAAAGCGUGGGGAGCAAACAGGAUUAGAUACCCUAGUAGUC